UUUUAUCGAUGUAUCAAUUGGUAUUUCUGGUCAACUGUAAGAUUGUUUAUAAUAAAGCUUUGCAUCUAGAUUGGUCAAUGCAGUCGGCUACCUGAAAUGGUAUUUGGAUUCCAAUGAAAAUUAAAUUUUCAGAUGAUAUGGAUUCAACCAUUUUGAUGGCCAAAGAUUCUAUGAGUUUCAGCUGUUGUCUUGCCAAUUCAUCUUGGUAAAUGAGUUUAAAAGUGCAAGGAUUUCAAAAGGUUAAUCAUUGGCACCUUCUUUUUGUAAAUCAUCUUUAUCAUUUAUGGCUUGUAUUAAACGCAAUCAUUAUCAAACUUCAUCAUUGGUGAUAAAUAGUGAAAGAAUGAUAAAUAAUGAUUGAUUUAAUAGAAAUGAUUCCAAGUGGAAAGCUGAAGGAACCAAACGAAUCAUUCAUGGAAACUCAUUUUUCUUUCAAGAAGAAAAAAAUGGAAGGGCAAAAAAUUCAAUUCUUCAACAUCUCUCUCUACAAAUCUUGUGUAUCAAUAUAAUCUCGUAACAAUUUUUGAUCUAAAAACCAACAUGGAAACCAGAGUAACUCGUUUGAUAUAAUAUAAAUUACAAGCGUUCAGAUUAAAAAUGAAAUAUAUUUCGUUUGGUGGUACAGGUUAUGUAAUAUAAAGAUAAAUAGCAUCAUCAUCAUAAUUAUCAAGAACAAGUUACGAAUUAAAGAAGCUAAAAUUACACUCUAAUGUCUUCUAAUUGUAACCCACACACUGACAUUCACCCAUAUGGAGAGCUGGAUCGCAUUUUGCUUUCAUUAUUAAUUGACCUUUGAUUGUCAAGAUAAUCAUCUAAAUAAUUGCCGUUUAUAACAAAAUCUUAAACCAAUAAGGUUUACAGUAAAUUGAGAGUUUAUUGUGAAAAUGAUUAAAUGAAUUACGUGUAAGGUUCCUGUUGUGAUUUUGCCCGAUUUACAAAUUGUUACUAAUAGUAUUAUUUUUACCAUUUAUUUUGCCCUCAAUGUUGCUGCUACACGACGAAAUGGUUGGAAUAGGAGAUUAUUUCAAACUAAACUUUGCCCCAUUUAUUAACAAUAUCAAGCAACAAGUCUGAUGACAAAUUAUUGUUAAUUUAUUGUAUCAUAUAAAUCAUUCAAGUUUA
Tetranychus urticae (two-spotted spider mite) is the source of this 1122-nucleotide long non-coding RNA. RefSeq lists it as uncharacterized. Lineage: Eukaryota; Metazoa; Arthropoda; Arachnida; Trombidiformes; Tetranychidae. The record is from RefSeq and is a predicted model, not a curated record.